AAUAGAUACCCCGGGUAGUCCACGCCGUAAACGAUGAGUGCUAAGUGUUAGAGGGUUUCCGCCCUUUAGUGCUGCAGCUAACGCAUUAAGCACUCCGCCUGGGGAGUACGGUCGCAAGACUGAAACUCAAAGGAAUUGACGGGGGCCCGCACAAGCGGUGGAGCAUGUGGUUUAAUUCGAAGCAACGCGAAGAACCUUACCAGGUCUUGACAUCCUCUGACAACUCUAGAGAUAGAGCGUUCCCCUUCGGGGGACAGAGUGACAGGUGGUGCAUGGUUGUCGUCAGCUCGUGUCGUGAGAUGUUGGGUUAAGUCCCGCAACGAGCGCAACCCUUGAUCUUAGUUGCCAGCAUUUAGUUGGGUCACUCUAGGGUGACUGCCGGUGACAAACCGGAGGAAGGUGGGGAUGACGUCAAAUCAUCAUGCCCCUUAUGACCUGGGCUACACACGUGCUACAAUGGAUGGUACAAAGGGCUGCAAGACCGCGAGGUCAAGCCAAUCCCAUAAACCAUUCUCAGUUCGGA
RNAcentral lists this ribosomal RNA (523 nucleotides) under uncultured bacterium. RNAcentral describes it as "bacterial SSU rRNA". It matches the Rfam family "Bacterial small subunit ribosomal RNA", at positions 777 to 1297 of the family's 1533-position model. The record is from RNAcentral.